Molecule: ribosomal RNA, 496 nt
Filed under: uncultured bacterium
Lineage: Bacteria
Description: bacterial SSU rRNA
Rfam family: Bacterial small subunit ribosomal RNA
Source: RNAcentral
AGAGUUUGAUCAUGGCUCAGGACGAACGCUGGCGGCAUGCCUAACACAUGCAAGUCGAACGAAUCAGUAGCAAUACUGGUUAGUGGCGAACGGGUGAGUAACACGUGAAUAAUCUGCCUUGUACAACGGGAUAACACUUAGAAAUUUAUGCUAAUACCGUAUAGGACCACACCGGGACAUCCCGGAGGGGUGAAAGCGCUUUAGCGGUACAAGAUGAGUUCGCGUCCAAUUAGCUAGUUGGUGAGGUAACGGCCCACCAAGGCGACGAUUGGUAGCCGACUUGAGAGAGUGAUCGGCCACACUGGAACUGAGACACGGUCCAGACUCCUACGGGAGGCAGCAGUGGGGAAUAUUGGGCAAUGGAGGAAACUCUUUAACCCCCAGCAAUGCCGCGUGAGUGAAUGAAGGUCUUCGGAUUGUAAAGCUCUUUAAUUGGGGACGAAUAAAUGACGGUACCCAAGGAAUAAGCCCCGGCUAACUAUGUGCCAGCCGCCGC